RNAcentral lists this ribosomal RNA (465 nucleotides) under uncultured bacterium. Its description in RNAcentral is "partial 16S ribosomal RNA". It matches the Rfam family "Bacterial small subunit ribosomal RNA", at positions 338 to 795 of the family's 1533-position model. The record is from RNAcentral.
CCUACGGGUGGCAGCAGUAGGGAAUCUUCCACAAUGGGCGAAAGCCUGAUGGAGCAACGCCGCGUGAGUGAAGAAGGUCUUCGGAGCGUAAAACCCUGUUGUUAGAGAAGAAAGUUCGUGCGAGUAACUGUUCACGUUUCGACUGUAUCUAUCCAGACCGCCCCGGCUAACUACGUGCCAUCAGCCGCGGUAAUACGUAGGGGGCUAGCGUUCUCCGGAUUUAUUGGGCGUAAAGGGUACGCAGGCGGUCUUUUAAGUCUGAUGUGAAAGCCGUCGGCUUAACCGGAGUAGUGCAUUGGAAACUGGGAGACUGGAGUGCAGAAGAGGAGAGUGGAAUUCCAUGUGUAGCGGUGAAAUGCGUAGAUAUAUGGAAGAACACCAGUGGCGAAAGCGGCUUACUGGGCUGUAACUGACGCUGAGGUUCGAAAGCGUGGGUAGCAAACAGGAUUAGAUACCCGAGUAGUC